RNAcentral lists this small RNA (505 nucleotides) under Malus domestica (apple). Its description in RNAcentral is "sRNA MD06G0146700". The record is from RNAcentral. Lineage: Eukaryota; Viridiplantae; Streptophyta; Magnoliopsida; Rosales; Rosaceae.
UCUUAUUUCUCUCUCUUUAGCCUGCAUCAGUUCCGACUUCUGCUGCCCCUCUCAAUGACAAUUACAACAACGAAUCAAUGAAUGGAUUUUGUUCUUCUGAGGUUGAAGAAUGGGCGAUGAGAGGUUGUGGGGAUGAGAUGGUCGUCAGUGUUUUAUGCUGAAAAAAUAGCAACAGUGCAGUGGCUCUCCCUGAGCAGCUUGCUUCUUUACAAGUUACGGCCGAAGAUCUACACCGACGAUUCUGAAGCACACAUAUGAUUCAAACGUAUAACAAAUAUCAAAUCCAACAAUGAUACAACAACAAACGAAGAUAUUAUUUCGGUUAUCCGCGCUGACUGGGUUGCCAUCUUGACAGCCUCGCCCAGCUUGAUUCGCAGACCCGCCGAGGCAAGUCAUUGAGAGACUGAAAACACAUUAAACUUCUCUAACGCAAUUUUACCACACCAUACCCUCUCUGUCUCGACCACAUCACAGACAAACUACACACACCUGCUGCUAUCUCUCU